This 228-nucleotide ribosomal RNA is filed under the name uncultured bacterium. RNAcentral's name for it is "partial 16S ribosomal RNA". It matches the Rfam family "Bacterial small subunit ribosomal RNA", at positions 104 to 334 of the family's 1533-position model. The record is from RNAcentral.
CGGGGUGGGUAAUGUCUGGGAAACUGCCUGAUGAGGGGGAUAACUGCUGGAAACGGUAGCUAAUACCGCAUAACGUCGCAAGACCAAAGUGGGGGACCUUCGGGCCUCAUGCCGUCAGAUGUGCCCAGAUGGGAUUAGCUAGUAGGUGGGGUAACGGCUCACCUAGGCGACGAUCCCUAGCUGGUCUGAGAGGAUGACCAGCCACACUGGAACUGAGACACGGUCCAG